ACGAACGCUGGCGGCGUGCUUAACACAUGCAAGUCGAACGGAAAGGCCCUGCUUUUGUGGGGUGCUCGAGUGGCGAACGGGUGAGUAACACGUGAGUAACCUGCCCUUGACUUUGGGAUAACUUCAGGAAACUGGGGCUAAUACCGGAUAGGAGCUCCUGCUGCAUGGUGGGGGUUGGAAAGUUUCGGCGGUUGGGGAUGGACUCGCGGCUUAUCAGCUUGUUGGUGGGGUAGUGGCUUACCAAGGCUUUGACGGGUAGCCGGCCUGAGAGGGUGAACGGCCACAUUGGGACUGAGAUACGGCCCAGACUCCUACGGGAGGCAGCAGUGGGGAAUAUUGCACAAUGGGCGGAAGCCUGAGGCAGCAACGCCGCGUGCGGGAUGACGGCCUUCGGGUUGUAAACCGCUUUCGCCUGUGACGAAGCGUGAGUGACGGUAAUGGGUAAAGAAGCACCGGCUAACUACGUG
Molecule: ribosomal RNA, 467 nt
Filed under: uncultured bacterium
Lineage: Bacteria
Description: partial 16S ribosomal RNA
Rfam family: Bacterial small subunit ribosomal RNA
Source: RNAcentral